RNAcentral lists this ribosomal RNA (253 nucleotides) under uncultured bacterium. RNAcentral's name for it is "partial 16S ribosomal RNA". It matches the Rfam family "Bacterial small subunit ribosomal RNA", at positions 524 to 776 of the family's 1533-position model. The record is from RNAcentral.
UACAGAGGUCCCAAGCGUUGUUCGGAUUUAUUGGGCGUAAAGGGUGCGUAGGCGGCGGAGUAAGUUGGGUGUGAAAUCCCGGGGCUCAACCUCGGAAUUGCAUUCAAUACUGCUUCGCUCGAGUACUGGAGAGGAGACUGGAAUUUACGGUGUAGCAGUGAAAUGCGUAGAUAUCGUAAGGAAGACCAGUGGCGAAGGCGAGUCUCUGGACAGCAACUGACGCUGAGGCACGAAGGCCAGGGGAGCAAACGGG